Molecule: long non-coding RNA, 294 nt
Filed under: Elaeis guineensis (African oil palm)
Lineage: Eukaryota; Viridiplantae; Streptophyta; Magnoliopsida; Arecales; Arecaceae
Description: long non-coding RNA (EGUI_LNC047120)
Source: RNAcentral
AUCAUUGUGUGCCAUAUAGAUUGGUUGUUCUCUUAACCAAAAAGUGUAGAGACACUGAUAUAGCAUACAGAUGAGAUGUAGGAGUACAUUGUCAUCGAAUAAUGACUCACCUAUGGAAUGCUCUGCUAUCAAGGAUAGCUUGUGAAGGAUAUGGGCAUAAAUAUUUCUCCGACCUGAGAUCACCAUGGUGACUUGCAAGCAACUCACUAUACUUUGAUGUUGAACUAUCUGUAUUUCUAAUACAGUGAUGAAAGGCUACUGGGUACAGUCAAGUACUUGUGAAGUCGGUGUGUG